AACGAACGCUGGCGGCAUGCCUAACACAUGCAAGUCGAACGAGACCUUCGGGUCUAGUGGCGCACGGGUGCGUAACGCGUGGGAACCUGCCCUUAGGUUCGGAAUAACUCCCCGAAAGGGGUGCUAAUACCGGAUAAUGUCUUCGGACCAAAGAUUUAUCGCCUUUGGAUGGGCCCGCGUUGGAUUAGCUGGUUGGUAGGGUAAAAGCCUACCAAGGCGACGAUGCAUAGCUGGUCUGAGAGGAUGAUCAGCCACACUGGGACUGAGACACGGCCCAGACUCCUACGGGAGGCAGCAGUGGGGAAUAUUGGACAAUGGGCGAAAGCCUGAUCCAGCAAUGCCGCGUGAGUGAUGAAGGCCUUAGGGUUGUAAAGCUCUUUUACCCGGGAUGAUAAUGACAGUACCGGGAGAAUAAGCUCCGGCUAACUCCGUG
RNAcentral lists this ribosomal RNA (433 nucleotides) under uncultured bacterium. RNAcentral describes it as "partial 16S ribosomal RNA". It matches the Rfam family "Bacterial small subunit ribosomal RNA", at positions 29 to 507 of the family's 1533-position model. The record is from RNAcentral.